GCCCUCGUAGUUCAACGGAUAGAACGGGGUCCUCCUAAGACUCAGAUUCAGGUUCGAUUCCUGACGUGGGUACCA
This 75-nucleotide transfer RNA is filed under the name Candidatus Peregrinibacteria bacterium. RNAcentral's name for it is "tRNA-Arg". It matches the Rfam family "tRNA". From Rfam's summary of the family: Transfer RNA (tRNA) molecules are approximately 80 nucleotides in length. Their secondary structure includes four short double-helical elements and three loops (D, anti-codon, and T loops). Further hydrogen bonds mediate the characteristic L-shaped molecular structure. tRNAs have two regions of fundamental functional importance: the anti-codon, which is responsible for specific mRNA codon recognition, and the 3' end, to which the tRNAs corresponding amino acid is attached (by aminoacyl-tRNA synthetases). tRNAs cope with the degeneracy of the genetic code in two manners: having more than one tRNA (with a specific anti-codon) for a particular amino acid; and 'wobble' base-pairing, i.e. permitting non-standard base-pairing at the 3rd anti-codon position. The record is from RNAcentral. Lineage: Bacteria; Candidatus Peregrinibacteriota.